CCCAGUCACGAUAGGUGUCGGAGCAGCUUCGGCCCUAAGAAAUUCACGAUAAUUGGCAAAUGAUGAGAAAACUGUUUGCCGCUGUAAUUAUAGGCACUUUUAUUGCGCCAACCGGUGCCUUGGGAGCGGUCACAAUUAUUUCUACUCCAACUGCGACAACGGUAUCUCUCACUCAGAAGACGAUCACUUUAGUUCCACCAACUAGUAACUCACCUGGAGCAUGGUCUAUCGAAAUCGAUAAUCCAAAGAUUGCAACCGCAAAUGGUUUAACGCUUACUUUGUUAUCUGCUGGUACAUCGAUAAUCAGAUUUGCGCAAGCGGCUUCGGGUGCAUACAACGCUGCUUCUCGCUCAACUCGACUUACACUUACACCAGGAAUUCCAACUUUGGGGGAAUUUAGAGAUCAGACUAUCCCGCUGUCUGCCGGUUCCUUCACAAUACUACCUCCAAUAGCGUGACUGGGAAAAGUAGGUGUGGGUAGGGGAGCGUCCCUCAUUCAGCGAAGCCGUCGGGUAACCGUAGGUGGAGGAUGGGGGAGUGAGAAUGCAGGCAUGAGUAGCGAAUAGGCAAGUGAGAACCUUGCCCGCCGAAAGACCAAGGGUUCCUGGGCCAGGCCAGUCCGCCCAGGGUGAGUCGGGACCUAAGGCGAGGCCGACAGGCGUAGUCGAUGGACAACGGGUUGAUAUUCCCGUACCCGCAAUAGAACGCCCAUGCUGAACCUAGUAGUGCUAAGAAUUUGAAGCAGGUGUCAACUUAGUUGCCAUCUGUGGAAGGUUCGAACCCAGCUUAUAACCGUUAUCAUCAAAGUCGUGACGCAGGAAGCUAAGUCAGGGGGCUUAAUGGAUUGCCCUCCACACCCGUAGCCAGAUUCUGUAGGCAAAUCCGCAGAGUCGUUAAAGCGAGAGGUUAUGGUGAGGAUCUACGGAUCCGAACUGAUUGAUGCUACACUGACGAGAAAACCGGCGUUGAGAGGUUAUGAGUUGCCAGUACCCGAAACCGACACAGGUAGGAUGGCAGAGAAUGCUAAGGUGCGCGAGCUAACUCUCUAUAAGGAACUCGGCAAAAUACUUCCGUAACUUCGGAAUAAGGAAGGCCAACAUUAAGUGUAAGCCCUGCGGCUGAAGCUGAAGUUGGUGACACAAACCAGUCCCAAGCAACUGUUUACCAAAAACACAGCUCUGUGCAAACUCGAAAGAGGAAGUAUACAGGGUGACGCCUGCCCGGUGCUGGAAGGUUAAGGGGAGGGGUUAGACGCAAGUCGAAGCUCUGAUCUAAAGCCCCAGUGAACGGCGGCCGUAACUAUAACGGUCCUAAGGUAGCGAAAUUCCUUGUCAGGUAAGUUCUGACCCGCACGAAAGGCGUAAUGAUUUGGGAACUGUCUCGUAGAGAGGCUCGGCGAAAUUGGAUUAGCUGUGAAGAUACGGCUUAGGCAUGCCAGGACAGAAAGACCCUAUUGAGCUUUACUGUAGGCUAUUAGUGAACGCGAGAUUAAGAUGCGUAGUAUAGUUGGGAGACUUUGAUCCAAGGAUUCUGGUUCUUGGGGAGUCAUCAGUGAAAUACCAAUCUUCUUAGUCUUUCGUUCUAACAGUUACCAUUAUCUGGUAAUUGGACACUGAUUGUCGGGCAGUUUGACUGGGGCGGUCACCUCCUAAAGAGUAACGGAGGUGUACAAAGGUUCUCUCAGGUUGGUCGGAAAUCAACCAUUGAGUGCAAAUGCAAAAGAGAGCUUGACUGCAAGAGAGACAUCUCGCGCAGGUACGAAAGUAGGUAUUAGUGAUCCGGCGAUUCCGCAUGGAAGGGUCGUCGCUCAUCGGAUAAAAGUUACCAUAGGGAUAACAGGCUGAUCUCCCCCAAGAGUCCACAUCGACGGGGAGGUUUGGCACCUCGAUGUCGGCUCGUCGCAUCCUGGAGCUGGAGUCGGUUCCAAGGGUUGGGCUGUUCGCCCAUUAAAGCGGUACGUGAGCUGGGUUCAGAACGUCGUGAGACAGUUUGGUCCAUAUCUGCUGUAGGCGUAGGAAAUUUGAGAGGAGCUGCUCUUAGUACGAGAGGACCGGAGUGGACACACCGCUGGUGUAUCAGUUAUCCUGCCAAGGGUAAAUGCUGAGUAGCUAUGUGUGGAAAGGAUAACCGCUGAAAGCAUCUAAGCGGGAAACUUGCCUCAAGAUGAGAUUUCCCAUCCUUUUAAAGGAGUAAGACCCCUUGUAGACUACGAGGUUGAUAGGCUGGGUGUGUAUCGUGACUGGGAAAC
RNAcentral lists this ribosomal RNA (2248 nucleotides) under freshwater metagenome. RNAcentral's name for it is "bacterial LSU rRNA". It matches the Rfam family "Bacterial large subunit ribosomal RNA", at positions 1059 to 2882 of the family's 2925-position model. The record is from RNAcentral.